GAUUCUCAAAUAGAUAAGUUUAAUAAAUGAAGCCUGGUGAGGUUUUCAAUAGAAGCAAGCGAUAUGUGCAUUUCAAUGAGCCCACUAGGCAACCUAUAUUUUAAAGUUUAACAGCUGCUACAUCAUGGAUUAGAUGUGGUCAAUCUUAAUCAAAGAGGUGCUUUUUCACAUAGAUUAUACAUACCUUGCGAGUUUGUGGAAAGACAACUCUUGGUUUUAUGUGAAUUGAAUGGUAAAAAAACCAACUUCCUAAAAUACUAGGUUACAAUAAACCAAGGACGUGUUGCAAUAGGUGUAAUUGACAUCUACUCAAAAUCAUAAAUAGAGCUUUACAUGUUGUUAUGACAGAGAGUACCAUGAAGGCCAUGUUGAUUAAUCAAAGGAACAGAGAGAGAGAAAAUAACAGUGAAGAAUGCUAGAUGAGAAAGCUAAAUU
Molecule: unclassified non-coding RNA, 435 nt
Filed under: Hevea brasiliensis (rubber tree)
Lineage: Eukaryota; Viridiplantae; Streptophyta; Magnoliopsida; Malpighiales; Euphorbiaceae
Source: RNAcentral